This is a long non-coding RNA of Scatophagus argus, 710 nucleotides long. RefSeq lists it as uncharacterized. The record is from RefSeq and is a predicted model, not a curated record. NCBI's taxonomy places the organism in Eukaryota, Metazoa, Chordata, Actinopteri, Scatophagidae. The transcript is spliced from 3 exons.
GGGGGGGGGGGGCGGUUAGCUGCAAUGAGUCCCGCUCAGACUCCUACCUCCGCCUUUACUGAUGAUAGUAGAGGAGAAAAUUUCCACUGCCCUCCUGCUCCUCCCUCUCGUGUGGGAUCGACUGCAAUCACUGGAAGGACAUCACAUUGCCAUGCCGACAGCUCAUAAAGACACGCAUGCAGGAGGUGUGCAAGGCCGGUGGAUCACUUGGCUCUCCCUGCUGCCAAAUGCGAACAACUUUGUUGUUGCUGCUCCUCCCUCUUUCUUACUGUCAACCCUCGCUUCAGGACUUUGGCAGCCUCUUUCUGUGUGUGUGUGUGUGUGUGUCUCUUUGUGCAAACACAGGUAUGUCUGUGUGUGUAUGUAAGACCAUGCCAGUGCCAGGCCAAGUGAUGCAGUGCUCAUUGGAAGCAGGCCCAUUAGGGAGGGAGACAGAACAUGUAGCAGCAGGGAACAACUUCCACUUACAUGGAUUUGAUUAGCCAACUAGGGCACUUGCUGUUAUUUACCUAAUGAUAAAACCAAGAGUUAUCUAUAUGAAAAAGGUUAAAGUAAGCAUGGCAAAACAUGACCUUAAAUUUGAUAUUUGUUUACUGUAAGAGAGUGUUAUAGCUAAGUCAUUAAUAAAGCUCUACAAUUAUGUGUACAUGACAAGCUAAUUCCUGUUUUCCUUUGCACAAUCAAGUCUUCGGAAGAAACUGAGCACUGUC